RNAcentral lists this ribosomal RNA (989 nucleotides) under Escherichia coli. RNAcentral's name for it is "partial 23S ribosomal RNA". It matches the Rfam family "Bacterial large subunit ribosomal RNA", at positions 208 to 1238 of the family's 2925-position model. The record is from RNAcentral. Lineage: Bacteria; Pseudomonadati; Pseudomonadota; Gammaproteobacteria; Enterobacterales; Enterobacteriaceae.
ACCCCGAGGAAAAGAAAUCAACCGAGAUUCCCCCAGUAGCGGCGAGCGAACGGGGAGGAGCCCAGAGCCUGAAUCAGUGUGUGUGUUAGUGGAAGCGUCUGGAAAGGCGCGCGAUACAGGGUGACAGCCCCGUACACAAAAAUGCACAUACUGUGAGCUCGAUGAGUAGGGCGGGACACGUGGUAUCCUGUCUGAAUAUGGGGGGACCAUCCUCCAAGGCUAAAUACUCCUGACUGACCGAUAGUGAACCAGUACCGUGAGGGAAAGGCGAAAAGAACCCCGGCGAGGGGAGUGAAAAAGAACCUGAAACCGUGUACGUACAAGCAGUGGGAGCCUCUUAAUGGGGUGACUGCGUACCUUUUGUAUAAUGGGUCAGCGACUUAUAUUCUGUAGCAAGGUUAACCGAAUAGGGGAGCCGAAGGGAAACCGAGUCUUAACUGGGCGUUAAGUUGCAGGGUAUAGACCCGAAACCCGGUGAUCUAGCCAUGGGCAGGUUGAAGGUUGGGUAACACUAACUGGAGGACCGAACCGACUAAUGUUGAAAAAUUAGCGGAUGACUUGUGGCUGGGGGUGAAAGGCCAAUCAAACCGGGAGAUAGCUGGUUCUCCCCGAAAGCUAUUUAGGUAGCGCCUCGUGAAUUCAUCUCCGGGGGUAGAGCACUGUUUCGGCAAGGGGGUCAUCCCGACUUACCAACCCGAUGCAAACUGCGAAUACCGGAGAAUGUUAUCACGGGAGACACACGGCGGGUGCUAACGUCCGUCGUGAAGAGGGAAACAACCCAGACCGCCAGCUAAGGUCCCAAAGUCAUGGUUAAGUGGGAAACGAUGUGGGAAGGCCCAGACAGCCAGGAUGUUGGCUUAGAAGCAGCCAUCAUUUAAAGAAAGCGUAAUAGCUCACUGGUCGAGUCGGCCUGCGCGGAAGAUGUAACGGGGCUAAACCAUGCACCGAAGCUGCGGCAGCGACACUAUGUGUUGUUGGGUAGGGGAGCG